GUGAACUGCGGAAGGAUCAUUGUCGAAUCCUGCAAAAGCAGACCGCGAACACGUUAAACCAUAUUGGUACCGCGGGUCUUGGGGGAGACCUUUUGCCCGCGCCCAUCUCUCGCACGGCGUGCGUCUAUUCGCGCGUUGUGUGGGCUAACGAACCCCGGCGCGGCAUGCGCCAAGGAAAACUCAUAGAAGCGUCGGUCUCCCUUCGCCCCGUUCGCGGUGUGCGGUGGGUGAACUGACGUCUCUCCAAUGUCAUAACGACUCUCGGCAACGGAUA
This 274-nucleotide unclassified non-coding RNA is filed under the name Pedicularis chamissonis. RNAcentral describes it as "ITS1". Lineage: Eukaryota; Viridiplantae; Streptophyta; Magnoliopsida; Lamiales; Orobanchaceae. The record is from RNAcentral.